UUGUAGCUAAUUAAGCUGACCAAGUCCCCUUCCUCAUGGUGAUCCUGUAUGUAAUGGUUGCAAACAGCAGCCUCCUUGAUAGUUAUGCAGCCUUUUGCCUAUAUAGGUUGCUCUAAGGGACCUUGGAGACAAUU
Peromyscus eremicus (cactus mouse) is the source of this 134-nucleotide small nucleolar RNA. RefSeq annotates it as small nucleolar RNA SNORA70. NCBI's taxonomy places the organism in Eukaryota, Metazoa, Chordata, Mammalia, Rodentia, Cricetidae. The record is from RefSeq and is a predicted model, not a curated record. The transcript has a single exon.